ACGAACGCUGGCGGCGUGCUUAACACAUGCAAGUCGAACGGAAAGGCCCUGCUUUUGUGGGGUGCUCGAGUGGCGAACGGGUGAGUAACACGUGAGUAACCUGCCCUUGACUUUGGGAUAACUUCAGGAAACUGGGGCUAAUACCGGAUAGGAGCUCCUGCUGCAUGGUGGGGGUUGGAAAGUUUCGGCGGUUGGGGAUGGACUCGCGGCUUGUCAGCUUGUUGGUGGGGUAGUGGCUUACCAAGGCUUUGACGGGUAGCCGGCCUGAGAGGGUGACCGGCCACAUUGGGACUGAGAUACGGCCCAGACUCCUACGGGAGGCAGCAGUGGGGAAUAUUGCACAAUGGGCGGAAGCCUGAUGCAGCAACGCCGCGUGCGGGAUGACGGCCUUCGGGUUGUAAACCGCUUUCGCCUGUGACGAAGCGUGAGUGACGGUAAUGGGUAAAGAAGCACCGGCUAACUACGUG
Molecule: ribosomal RNA, 467 nt
Filed under: uncultured bacterium
Lineage: Bacteria
Description: partial 16S ribosomal RNA
Rfam family: Bacterial small subunit ribosomal RNA
Source: RNAcentral